This 4509-nucleotide long non-coding RNA is filed under the name Salmo salar (Atlantic salmon). Its description in RNAcentral is "lncRNA (ENSSSAG00000106362.1)". The record is from RNAcentral. Lineage: Eukaryota; Metazoa; Chordata; Actinopteri; Salmoniformes; Salmonidae.
UCGCUCCCCACGGUAAGCACGGGGAGUUGGCUCAGGUCUCCACCCAGACUUAGUCAAUCUCCCCGUGUGCCCCCCCUACAAAAUAUUUUUGGGGCUGCCUCUCGUGUUUCCGUCAUUGCCAUGCUAGUUCCUCAUCUCGUCGCCGCUCUGCUCUUGCUGCCUCCACCUGUUCCCAUGGGAGGCGAUCCCAUCCGGCCUGGACCUCCUCCCACGUCCAGGAUGUCUUCCCAGGUCCAUUGCUCCUGACCACGCUGCUUGGUCCUUUGGUGGUGGGAUCUUCAGUAACGAUCGUCGUAAAGAGGAGACCAAGGUGCAGCGUGGAAAGUGCUCAUGUUUACUUUUAUUUAACUCGGUACACUAAACAAAAUAAGGUGCUUCUACACCUGCAUUGCUUGCUGUUUGGGGUUUUAGGCUGGGUUUCUGUACAGCACUUUGAGAUAUCAGCUGAUGUAAGAAGGGCUAUAUAAAUAAAUUUGAUUUAAUUUAAUGAAAAGGAAUACGAACAGGCUUACACAGAGCUGUACAAAAACAAGAUCCCACAACUGAAGGUGGGAAAAAGGGCUGCCUAAGUAUGAUUCCCAAUCAGAGACAACGAUAGACAGCUGCCUCUAAUUAGGAACCAUACUCGGCCAAACAAAGAAAUAUGACAUAGAAUGCCCACCCCAUAUCACACCCUGACCUAACCAAACAGAGAAAAUGGCUCUCAGGUCAGGGCGUGACAUAGUUUAAAUACAUAGUUUAAAAUGAGUAUUGCAUUAGGACAAAUAAAGCAUCACUGAAUAGUUUGUCACAGUUUUUAUUGCAUUAAAAAGCUAAGCCAGAAUAAAGAUAAUGAAAUGCUAAAUAUAUUUAUAGGAGCAAUGUGAGUAUGACCCUAAUAUAACCUUCUAAAUGUUCAUUACUUAACUGAAUAUUGUUAGUUGUUUGGUCUCACAGUUGAUAAGAUACAGAGCAGCGUCCCUGGAUGGAGAGCAGUUUUAGGGUUUAAGUCCCGUGCUCAAGGGCACAAUGGCUGGAGGGGGUACCUGGAAUCAUAGACCAACAGUUCCCACAGUUCUGUUUUUAUACCCUGUCCGUGGAUUGAAUCAGCAACCUUCCGGCUACUGAUCAAGCAACCUUCCACCUCUCCGAAAGCCCAAUUUUUGCAGCUUCUGCACCGUCCGUUUAAACGAGAUUAUGCAUCGAAAGUUCGCUUCUGUCGGCACGUCUCUGCUUCUGCAUCUACACACCUUUUUCCAGCAUGACAUUAGCUUACAAAUGAUAUGUGAAGCUUCUAUGCAUGUAGUGUAGGACAUUAUGAAGGCUUUAUUAGAUAUAUCUGGUUUAAAAUGUGACUAUGUAGCUUCAAAGUAUACAUUAAACAUAAAGCUUCAAAGUAUACAUACUGAAUAUGUUCCAGUGUGCAUGUUACAAAAUCUGGAAUAUCUAAGCUAUUCCUACGUUUGCGUCUGUCUAAAAUUUCAGAAUCUGAUAUGAUGGAACGCUGAGAAGAGUCUAUGAUGUUCUUUUUCACUCUCAAUGUCUGAUCUGCACCCUCUGUACUUAUGAAGAUCUCAGUUUCAGAGCUAAAACGUGAAGGCUCCUCCAUGCUUUUCCGACGUUUGCGUCUGUAUAGAAUCUUUGUCGCCUGCUCAAAGUCAGAAAAAUCUUCUGCCUCAAGUUCCACUCCAAAGGACAUAUUUCCGUCACGCACAAUAUCAAUAUUACAAAUCUUUUUGAAUUGAACCAUAUAUAUCUCAAAUACUGACACAGGGUAGUACCGGAUUUCAGUGACACCAGUAGCAAUCUUUUUGACUGACCUGACAGGUUAACAUAGUCACACUUUAAUUCCAGGAUGAUGAAAGAGAAAGAAACAGAGAGAAAGGGACAGAGGGAGGGAGAAAGCAGAGUGGUUGGCGUUAUCCAUCCGGAAGCCUCCACCAGCGGUAACAGGAGGGCAGCGAUGGCACAUAGGUCCUCAGGUGGUCCGUGUGUUCUCCAUCCGCUAUCUUGGCCCCUGCUUUAGCCCUGGCCCCAGCCCUGCAAUGUGAAGAAAGGUUCUCAGUUCAAAAACAUGUUUACUCUCUUAAACAAUCAAUAAUUAGAUUUGCACGGUAUUUGGUAUUUAUGGAUAAUGAAUUUGCUGAUGAUAACGAUAAUGAAUAUAAAGGUAAUGAUAAGGAUUGAUAUAAUAAUCUUGACAAUAGUGCCUUCAGAAAGGAUUCAUACCCCUCGACUUAUUCCACAUUUUGUUGUGUUACAGCCUGAAUUCAAAGUUGAUGAAAUAUUUUUUUUUCUACACACACAACAUCCCAUAAUGCCAAAGUGAAAACAUGUUUUUAGAUUUUUUUUUUACAAUUUUCUUGAAAAGUAAAUACAGAAAUAUAUCAUAUUAACAUAAGUAUUCAACACCCCUGAGUCAACACUUUGUAGAAGCACCUAUGGCAGCGAUUACAGCUUUGAGUCUUUCUGGGUAAGUCUCAAAUGAUUUGUGAAGCUUUGCACAACUGGAUUGUACAAGCUGUCAAGUUGUUUGUUGAUCAUUGCUUGACAGGCAUUUUCUAGUCUUGCUAUAGAUUUUCAAGACGCUUUAAGUCAAAACUAUAACUAUGUCACUGAGGAAUAUUCAAUGUCGUCUUAGUAAGCAACUCCUUUCAUUUUGUAUUAAUUUGAAAAAUAUAAUUCCACUUUGACAUAAAAUCUCAAUUUAAUCAAUUUUAAAUUCAGCCUGUAACACAACAAAAUGUGGAAAAAAGUAACGGUAUGAAAAUAAAGUUUCCACAUUUUGUUGUGUUACAGCCUGAAUGUUACAGCCUGAAUGCCCUGCUUGCAACAGAAUGAAGCCUUGAAAAAUGAAUAACAUUAUUGAUAGUCUUCCUGACAAAAGAGACCAAACAGCAUUCAUUGACAGUUAAAGUAGAGAAACAUGUAUAUAUUUACCCAUUGGGAGGCCGAGGACCACACAUCCAGAAGUGUAUUGUUUUCAUGUUGUUUUAGUACAUGUUGUCGAAAGGAGGAGAUGUGAGACUGUAGGACAGUAUGAAGACAUCAUGAAGACUUUAUUAGACUAGUUGUAUCUCCAAAGUAUACUUAAAGCAUGUAUAUUUUCUAGUGUACAUGUCACAGCUUCACUCAAAAACGUGGUGGAAUAUUUAAUCUAUUCGUACAUUUGAGUCCUUCCAAAAUAUCAGAAUCUGAUUGUAACGUCUGCUUCCAACUCACACCCUCAAACACAUAGAUCCCCUGCAGCUCACUUUCCAGCCCACUUUCCAGCUCACACUCUGAAACACCUAGAUCCCCUGAACGCAGCUCACUCUCCAGAUCCCAAUCAUCUGAAUUCUAAUCACCUGUUCACACACCUGUAUGUCAUUAUCACACUAUUUAGUUCAGUUCUUUGCACCCCAUCACUGUGAGGUAUUGUUUGUUUUGUGACACGUCUUUCAGAGCGCUGGUUUUCCUGUGAUUUACUCCUCCCGUGUAUGAUAGUUUUUGCCUGCCUCACUAACGACGCCUUUUUGCCUAUUCCCUGCCUGUACUUUAGCCUAUCGGAUUUCCUGUUAUCUACCUAUUUGCCUGAUCUCCCGGACUACGUUACUAGCCUUUUCCCUGCUUAUACUGUUGCCUUUGGACCCAUGAGUAUGACCUUCUGCCUGUCCCUGGAUCCCAGCUACUUGACUCCUCCUGUGGUCCUUUACAAUAAACAGCUGCUGCUCCCUGCGCUUGAAACCAGCUCUCUGUCUCCCCUCGUGUUCAUUACACUGAUAGGACAGUGCUGAGAAGUCAUUGUUUUUCACUCUUAAUGGAGCAUUACUAUAGCGUUUCAUAUACAUUAUUUGUAUUCAGGAAAGCAGUGAGUUGCUGCACAACAGCAUUUUCACUCAUAAUCUGCAUCAUAUAUAUAUACCUCGUGUUCUCACUUUCAAAGCUAAUCAAAAACAUGAGCUGGCGCACACCCAAAGAAAAGUAUUUUAUGUAGAGGUGCGGACUAAUGGCGAAUAAACUAAACUGUAAAAAUAGUCACACUAUAUAUAUAUAUAAAUAACUCCCAGUAAUUUAUUUUGUAAAUCACCAACGUUUCAGAAUCGCUGGGCUUUCAGGGUCAUCACUGUGCCUUCUCACUUUCAGAGCUAAAAUAUUCAGGCUCCUCCAUGCGUUUUCAAUGUUUGCGUUUGUAAAUAAUCUUUGUCACCUGCUCAGUCAGAAAAGGGUUCUGCCUCGAGUUUCACCCCAUUAGCCAUAUUUAGGCCUUCGUCACACAUACGUUGUUAGUGCGAUAUAAACAAUUCAAUAACAAAAUAUACAUUGUGCAGUGUAAUAACAUGCAGUCUUCAUAUAAUGAAAUGAAUAAUUUACCUGAAGGAAGCAGGUACGAUAGGAUUACCCUUGGGCUAGUGCUCUUUGAUCGUAAAGAGGUGUAAAUGUUGACUCAAACAAGAAGCUUUUAUAGAAACCUGUUGUCAUGGCUGUACAGCUGUGUUCAUGAUUGGUCUCUGAAUGAGCGUGACUGUACGUGUGUGUUCAUGAUUGGCC